GACGGCCUGACUCUUAACACCACCCAUGGAGCCGCAGGAAGAGGCGCGAACGCUCGGGGAGUCUGCGCCUCGGCCUUCUGGCGCCUGGGGAUUACCGACGCCGGGUGAAGAGGAGCGGUCCGAGGGCGGUGCGCGGCUGGCGGCGCCUCCCGCGGGCGCAUUGGGGGACAGCACGAGUGCAGACGGGCUGUGGGGGCUGCCGGUGGAGCACGCGGAGCGCAGGCCGGAGUGCAGCCGCUGCAGCCGUCCCCAGAAAGUGUGCUUAUGUCCAUAUCUGCCAGUUCGUCCACUCCAGAUCUCCACCCACUUGUACAUAAUCCAGCAUCCAGCAGAGGAAAGCAAAGUGUUGCGCACAGUCCCUCUGCUAGCAGCAUGCCUUCCCCCGGACAAAUGCACAGUCAAGAUUGGCCGCCGCUUCAGUGAAGAGCGACUCUGCUUCGCCCUCUUCAGGCUCUGUGUUCUUUCCAGCUUCAGCAUGGUGCUCAGGUUCGCCUCAGCAAGGAGUAUCUUCUCAAGAAUGGAUUAUAUCCCAAGCCUAUGCCAAAGAACAAACGCAAACUCAGGAAGAUGGAGCUGUUAAUCAACAGUGUCAAAAUUUAGCACACUUGUCCCUGCGUGCUGGUUUUCCUGUCAUUGGCUGACAAGACUGUGUUCCAUCUUCCCAGUUCUGACUUUUACUCUGAAGAAGGAGGAACGCUGGCCCACCCUAGUGCUGAAGGACGAGGUCUGCUCCACAGCAUCUAAUGGUUCACCCCACUGACCGAGAAGCGGUUUCACGCUGUCUCUGUUUUUGUUUUAUUUUUCUUUUUGAUUUUUCAAGACAAGGUUUCUCUGUGUAGCCUGUAGACCAGGCUUGCCUCAAACUCAGAGAUCUGGCUGCUUCUGCCUCCCAAGUUCUGGGAUAAACAGCAUGUGCCACCUUUGUCCAGAUACUGGAUCCGCUUUUAAACAUGUGCUUCCAAUACAUUUUUUAAAAGGUCUAUUCAAAAAAGGGUUACUUGUUAGUCUAGACUAAGGACCUGUUGUUCGUAAAAUGAAGAAAAUUUUGUCUGGGAACAUGUUCCCGUCAGUGUUUAUACAUAGGUGGGUGUAGGUUAGUGAUGGGGUAUAGCCAUGACACUAAUGCUUCAGCCCAGUGAAUGAAAUUCAGAGUGUGACGUAGUGACACAGAGGGCUGUGUGUGUUAUUCAGGAGGAGAAAAGAACAGGAAAACUUUACCCUUCAGGGUUCUCCUGGACUCAGCGAAUCCACGCAGUGGGACUUACAUCUUCUCUUAGUGGCUGAAUUCCUGAGGACUCCAUCUAAUUUUGAAAUAGCCUGUAUUCUCAAUGGGAGAUGCUGUGCAUAACUUCAGGUUUUCAGUGUCCAUUGAACAAGUUAACUGGUGGUAAGAAGUUUUUGAUGAAGUUUCUACAUGAAAAUGACUGAAGUAAAUUAUAAUACAGCUAUCAUUUCUAUUAGCUCUAUUUACAUUUUUUAAAGAGAAAAAACUUUCAAUGUGAAAGAUCGAUUCCCUCACCUUAUUAGAAUAUUUACUAAUAUUUUGUAAAGAAUAAGAGAAUUUAUAUAUUUAUACAAAAUUUACAGUUAAGCAUACACUUUGGCAAGAUCAAGACGUUUCAUUUUGACUGUUAUUCACGAUUAUUCAAGUUUCCUGAAUCCAGUGUGAGAGUGGAAGGGAAAACCAAGCAUGCAUUUUUGUGGUGAUUUUGAUAAAUACUUCUCUGUGUGGCAUGAACACACCAGUUUCUGAUUAUUUUUAUGCCCAUUUGUUUACUAUUGGCUCAGAUCAGCUUGGCUGGUCCCAAUUAGAAUGCUAACAAAUAUGUAGCAAAUUAUGGAAAAAUAUUAAAAUUUAGGUUUGUCUUCAAUUGCUGACUUAUAUUUGCAUUUAAAAAUAAGUUGGUCUUUUAUAACCUAAAUGUCUAGUAGCAAUUGAUUAUUUGUGUAAUAAUGAAAAAAUAGUAUAAUGUAUAAUGGCUUCUUAAGGAAUGAGAUAAAACUAUCAUAAUUUUUUAUGUUGGAAAUAAACUUUAUAAACUCC
RNAcentral lists this long non-coding RNA (2044 nucleotides) under Rattus norvegicus (Norway rat). RNAcentral's name for it is "long non-coding RNA NONRATT009916". The record is from RNAcentral. Lineage: Eukaryota; Metazoa; Chordata; Mammalia; Rodentia; Muridae.